Molecule: ribosomal RNA, 465 nt
Filed under: Vreelandella stevensii
Lineage: Bacteria; Pseudomonadati; Pseudomonadota; Gammaproteobacteria; Oceanospirillales; Halomonadaceae
Description: partial 16S ribosomal RNA
Rfam family: Bacterial small subunit ribosomal RNA
Source: RNAcentral
CCUACGUGUGGCAGCAGUGGGGAAUAUUGGACAAUGGGCGAAAGCCUGAUCCAGCCAUGCCGCGUGUGUGAAGAAGGCCUUCGGGUUGUAAAGCACUUUCAGUGGGGAAGAAAGCCUUGGGGCUAAUACCCUCGAGGAAGGACAUCACCCACAGAAGAAGCACCGGCUAACUCCGUGCCAGCAGCCGCGGUAAUACGGAGGGUGCGAGCGUUAAUCGGAAUUACUGGGCGUAAAGCGCGCGUAGGCGGUCUGAUAAGCCGGUUGUGAAAGCCCCGGGCUCAACCUGGGAACGGCAUCCGGAACUGUCAGGCUAGAGUGCAGGAGAGGAAGGUAGAAGCCCCGGUGUAGCGGUGAAAUGCGUAGAGAUCGGGAGGAAUACCAGUGGCGAAGGCGGCCUUCUGGACUGACACUGACGCUGAGGUGCGAAAGCGUGGGUAGCAAACAGGAUUAGAUACCCUUGUAGUC